RNAcentral lists this transfer RNA (73 nucleotides) under Bos taurus (domestic cattle). It matches the Rfam family "tRNA". From Rfam's summary of the family: Transfer RNA (tRNA) molecules are approximately 80 nucleotides in length. Lineage: Eukaryota; Metazoa; Chordata; Mammalia; Artiodactyla; Bovidae. RNAcentral also lists the same sequence under 3 other names. The record is from Rfam by way of RNAcentral.
UCCCUGGUGAUCCAGUGGUUAGGAUUCUGUGCUUUAACAGCCCAGGACCUGGGUUCAAUCCCUGGUCGGGGAG